Molecule: ribosomal RNA, 399 nt
Filed under: uncultured bacterium
Lineage: Bacteria
Description: partial 16S ribosomal RNA
Rfam family: Bacterial small subunit ribosomal RNA
Source: RNAcentral
GACGAACGCUGGCGGCGUGCUUAACACAUGCAAGUCGAACGAAUUGGGAUCGGGUGAGUAAUACGUGGGUAACCUCCCUCCUUUUUGGGAUAAGCCUUGGAAACGGGGUCUAAACCCAAUAGAUGGGCUCGCGGCCUAUCAGCUUGUGGGGGGGGUGAUGGCCUACCAAGGCGGUGACGUGUAGCCGGACUGAGAGGGUGAACGGCAACAUUGGGACUGAGAUACGGACCAGACUCCUACGGGAGGCAGCAGUGGGGAAUCGUCCGCAAUGGACGAAAGUCUGACGGAGCAACGCCGCGUGAGUGAUGACGGCCUUCGGGUUGUAAAGCUCUGUUAAUCGGGACGCGGUACCGGAAUAGAAAGCCACGGCUAACUACGUGCCAGCAGCCGCGGUAAUUC